Molecule: microRNA precursor, 95 nt
Filed under: Pan troglodytes (chimpanzee)
Lineage: Eukaryota; Metazoa; Chordata; Mammalia; Primates; Hominidae
Description: miRNA
Rfam family: mir-644 microRNA precursor family (bases 18-90)
Source: RNAcentral
UAUUUUAUUUAGUAUUUUUCCAUCAGUGUUCAUAAGGAAUGUUGCUCUGUAGUUUUCUUAUAGUGUGGCUUUCUUAGAGCAAAGAUGGUUCCCUA